Molecule: ribosomal RNA, 253 nt
Filed under: uncultured bacterium
Lineage: Bacteria
Description: partial 16S ribosomal RNA
Rfam family: Bacterial small subunit ribosomal RNA
Source: RNAcentral
UACAGAGGUCUCAAGCGUUGUUCGGAUUCAUUGGGCGUAAAGGGUGCGUAGGCGGCGGGGCAAGUCGGGUGUGAAAUCUCAGGGCUCAACCCUGAAACUGCACUCGAUACUGCUCUGCUUGAGGACUGGAGAGGAGACUGGAAUUCACGGUGUAGCAGUGAAAUGCGUAGAUAUCGUGAGGAAGACCAGUGGCGAAGGCGGGUCUCUGGACAGUUCCUGACGCUGAGGCGCGAAGGCCAGGGGAGCAAACGGG